This 745-nucleotide ribosomal RNA is filed under the name bacterium. RNAcentral describes it as "bacterial SSU rRNA". It matches the Rfam family "Bacterial small subunit ribosomal RNA", at positions 50 to 787 of the family's 1533-position model. The record is from RNAcentral.
UAAACAAUGCAAGUCGAAACGGUAGCACAGAGAGCUUGCUCUCGGGUGACGAGUGGCGGACGGGUGAGUAAUGUCUGGGAAACUGCCUGAUGGAGGGGGAUAACUACUGGAAACGGUAGCUAAUACCGCAUAACGUCUUCGGACCAAAGAGGGGGACCUUCGGGCCUCUUGCCAUCGGAUGUGCCCAGAUGGGAUUAGCUAGUAGGUGGGGUAACGGCUCACCUAGGCGACGAUCCCUAGCUGGUCUGAGAGGAUGACCAGCCACACUGGAACUGAGACACGGUCCAGACUCCUACGGGAGGCAGCAGUGGGGAAUAUUGCACAAUGGGCGCAAGCCUGAUGCAGCCAUGCCGCGUGUAUGAAGAAGGCCUUCGGGUUGUAAAGUACUUUCAGCGGGGAGGAAGGGAGUGAGGUUAAUAACCUCAUUCAUUGACGUUACCCGCAGAAGAAGCACCGGCUAACUCCGUGCCAGCAGCCGCGGUAAUACGGAGGGUGCAAGCGUUAAUCGGAAUUACUGGGCGUAAAGCGCACGCAGGCGGUCUGUCAAGUCGGAUGUGAAAUCCCCGGGCUCAACCCGGGAACUGCAUUCGAAACUGGCAGACUCGAGUCUUGUAGAGGGGGGUAGAAUUCCAGGUGUAGCGGUGAAAUGCGUAGAGAUCUGGAGGAAUACCGGUGGCGAAGGCGGCCCCCUGGACAAAGACUGACGCUCAGGUGCGAAAGCGUGGGGAGCAAACAGGAUAAACCC